CCUACGGGAGGCAGCAGUGGGGAAUUUUGGACAAUGGGCGAAAGCCUGAUCCAGCAAUGCCGCGUGAGUGAAGAAGGCCUUCGGGUUGUAAAGCUCUUUUGUCAGGGAAGAAACGGUGAGGGCUAAUAUCUCUUGCUAAUGACGGUACCUGAAGAAUAAGCACCGGCUAACUACGUGCCAGCAGCCGCGGUAAUACGUAGGGUGCAAGCGUUAAUCGGAAUUACUGGGCGUAAAGCGUGCGCAGGCGGUUUUGUAAGUCUGUCGUGAAAUCCCCGGGCUCAACCUGGGAAUUGCGAUGGAGACUGCAAGGCUAGAAUCUGGCAGAGGGGGGUAGAAUUCCACGUGUAGCAGUGAAAUGCGUAGAGAUGUGGAGGAACACCGAUGGCGAAGGCAGCCCCCUGGGUCAAGAUUGACGCUCAUGCACGAAAGCGUGGGGAGCAAACAGGAUUAGAUACCCUGGUAGUCCACGCCCUAAACGAUGUCUACUAGUUGUUCGGUUUUAAUUACUUGGUAACGCAGCUAACGCGUGAAGUAGACCGCCGUCGGGAGGUACGGUCGGUCGAGUUAAGUUAAACGUUAAAGUUAAAGUUAGUACGGCGUUGAGACGUUAGCCGACGGACGACGACGAGGGAGGAGG
Molecule: ribosomal RNA, 637 nt
Filed under: uncultured bacterium
Lineage: Bacteria
Description: bacterial SSU rRNA
Rfam family: Bacterial small subunit ribosomal RNA (bases 1-541)
Source: RNAcentral